This 103-nucleotide ribosomal RNA is filed under the name uncultured bacterium. RNAcentral's name for it is "partial 16S ribosomal RNA". It matches the Rfam family "Bacterial small subunit ribosomal RNA", at positions 1380 to 1482 of the family's 1533-position model. The record is from RNAcentral.
CUUGUACACACCGCCCGUCACACCAUGGGAGUGGGUUUCACCAGAAGUAGGUAGCCUAACCAUAAGGAGGGCGCUUACCACGGUGGGAUUCAUGACUGGGGUG